Molecule: long non-coding RNA, 863 nt
Filed under: Polistes fuscatus (common paper wasp)
Lineage: Eukaryota; Metazoa; Arthropoda; Insecta; Hymenoptera; Vespidae
Description: uncharacterized LOC122514863
Source: RNAcentral
CGAGAAAGCUUGACUUUUAAAAGAUUUGAAUGGUGUACAUGGAAUUUAAUCGUGAAGAUUCGUAUCGAUGAUAGAAAAUCAUCGAUCGAUAUUAACGAUAAGAUCAACAAUCUGACCGUGGUGACGGGUUUGCAAGAAACAAGUGGAAAUUAAAAGUGAUAGAUAGUACGGUAUAAGAAAAAAAAGAAAAGGAAAAAGGGGGACAAGAAGAAAAAAAAUAGAUGAAGAAAAUAUCUUGGCUCGUUUCGAGUAGGAUAGAUCAUCCCUUUCACGUUCCUUCGGUCGAAUGAAUUGAAACGACAAUCUCAGUUCAGUCGAUUGAAUCUCGUCGAGCAACGUAAUAAGAAUCUCGGUGUUACCUGAUAAGAUAAUAAUGGGAUAAAAAAAAAAGGGAUACGCACACCACCGUUUUGCCUGGAAUGAAAUAUUUUUAACUAUUGGAACACGUCUUAUCUUAAAACGUUCAACGUGAAAUCAAAUUACAUUUCGAUACGAGAAAUACAAAAAAAAAAAGGGUAUAAAAUGUAUAUAUAAAUAUAAUAAAAUCAUAGUUAUCAUGAUUGUAUCAUGAUAAAUUGAAAUAACAGAUAAAAUAUAUAUAUAUAUAUAUAUGUACGAAGGUAGUGUAGUCAAGGUUUCGUUAAAUCAAAUAGCAUCGUUGAGAGAUAGAAAAGUACCUUCAGCAAAUCGGAUUAAACUUAAUCCGAAAUCGGUAAUUCGAGGAGAAGGGUAUACAUGGAUGCGCCGGAAAAGGGAAACCCGAUUGAACUACGAGGAUUCGAUUCCUUGACAAGAAUGAGAUUACUUUGGAAUAAUCGAAAAGAGUAAAAAAAAAAUAACACAACAAAACAAAACAAAAUAAA